AUAUACAUUAUCUGGAGACCUUGCAGCAAUGCAGAUUCUGGUUCAGUAGGUCUUGUGUUGGGCUGAGAUACUGCAUUUAUAACAAGCUUCCAGAUGAUGCUAAU
Molecule: microRNA precursor, 104 nt
Filed under: Marmota monax (woodchuck)
Lineage: Eukaryota; Metazoa; Chordata; Mammalia; Rodentia; Sciuridae
Source: RNAcentral